Molecule: ribosomal RNA, 465 nt
Filed under: Vreelandella stevensii
Lineage: Bacteria; Pseudomonadati; Pseudomonadota; Gammaproteobacteria; Oceanospirillales; Halomonadaceae
Description: partial 16S ribosomal RNA
Rfam family: Bacterial small subunit ribosomal RNA
Source: RNAcentral
CCUACGGGCGGCAGCAGUGGGGAAUAUUGGACAAUGGGGGCAACCCUGAUCCAGCCAUGCCGCGUGUGUGAAGAAGGCCCUCGGGUUGUAAAGCACUUUCAGUGAGGAAGAACGCCUGGUGGUUAAUACCCAUCAGGAAAGACAUCACUCACAGAAGAAGCACCGGCUAACUCCGUGCCAGCAGCCGCGGUAAUACGGAGGGUGCGAGCGUUAAUCGGAAUUACUGGGCGUAAAGCGCGCGUAGGUGGCUUGAUAAGCCGGUUGUGAAAGCCCGGGGCUCAACCUGGGAACGGCAUCCGGAACUGUCAAGCUAGAGUGCAGGAGAGGAAGGUAGAAUUCCCGGUGUAGCGGUGAAAUGCGUAGAGAUCGGGAGGAAUACCAGUGGCGAAGGCGGCCUUCUGGACUGACACUGACACUGAGGUGCGAAAGCGUGGGUAGCAAACAGGAUUAGAUACCCCGGUAGUC